GGGGAUUUAGCUCAGCGGCAUAAGCGCCUGCCUUGCAAGCAGGCAGUCGUGAGUUCGAUUCCUAGUACCGA
This 71-nucleotide transfer RNA is filed under the name Cavia porcellus (domestic guinea pig). It matches the Rfam family "tRNA". From Rfam's summary of the family: Transfer RNA (tRNA) molecules are approximately 80 nucleotides in length. Their secondary structure includes four short double-helical elements and three loops (D, anti-codon, and T loops). Further hydrogen bonds mediate the characteristic L-shaped molecular structure. tRNAs have two regions of fundamental functional importance: the anti-codon, which is responsible for specific mRNA codon recognition, and the 3' end, to which the tRNAs corresponding amino acid is attached (by aminoacyl-tRNA synthetases). tRNAs cope with the degeneracy of the genetic code in two manners: having more than one tRNA (with a specific anti-codon) for a particular amino acid; and 'wobble' base-pairing, i.e. permitting non-standard base-pairing at the 3rd anti-codon position. Lineage: Eukaryota; Metazoa; Chordata; Mammalia; Rodentia; Caviidae. The record is from Rfam by way of RNAcentral.